UCACAUGGUACCCCCUAUUUUAUGUAUGCAUGCGUUUGAGUUAGUUAUAUAUUCUGGAAUAUUUUAACCCUUACACUUUUAGUCUUUCCGAGGGCAUCAUGCCAGUAACAUCGGAUUUGUUAUACUUUACUAGCUGUUUUUAGUUUUUGUCUUGUCUGUUUGCGACUUUUGAGUUAAGUGGAGGUUUUCCGUCAUAUUCCAAUAACGAGCUGUCGUGUCUCGCGAGUCUUGUGAUUUUAUAAUAUUUUUUUUCACAGUUUUUUUAAGUACACCAACGCAGCCGAUAAACCAAUCACGUGGAAGUAAUUGCAUACUGACGACGACGAUAUUACUUUUUCCCAUGGCAACAGUUGUUUGAGGGAAAGCCCGCGGGAAAUAACCGAGAGCUUGGAGGAAAAAGUGGCAGCGCGGAAGCUGAGUAAUAAUGACAGUUAAACGAAGAGUAAAAAACGCGCCCAUACCCAGGAACACAACAAAACACAAACAAAAAAAAGUAAAAUAGUGACUGCGACUGCGGACACGCGAGGGC
Molecule: long non-coding RNA, 529 nt
Organism: Microplitis mediator
Lineage: Eukaryota; Metazoa; Arthropoda; Insecta; Hymenoptera; Braconidae
Exons: 4
Source: RefSeq, a predicted model, not a curated record